UUCUUCUUUGGUCUUCCAACCUUCUUCGUAAUAUGUAAUAGUCUGUAUAACCCAUGAUAGUAGUGUUGCAAUAACAUAGCUGCAAGGUAUUCUUGUUAACUAUCACAAACGACAUGAACAUGUCCUCGCAACCAGGUCAACUGUUUAUAGAGUUUGAUUUGCAUUGUAUCAUAUUUGGAAUUUCUACUUUCCCAACUAAUCAGUAUAUUUA
RNAcentral lists this long non-coding RNA (211 nucleotides) under Olea europaea (common olive). RNAcentral describes it as "long non-coding RNA (OEUR_LNC005258)". The record is from RNAcentral. Lineage: Eukaryota; Viridiplantae; Streptophyta; Magnoliopsida; Lamiales; Oleaceae.